Molecule: transfer RNA, 67 nt
Filed under: Platyxantha sp. BMNH 846582
Lineage: Eukaryota; Metazoa; Arthropoda; Insecta; Coleoptera; Chrysomelidae
Description: tRNA-Tyr
Source: RNAcentral
GGUAAAAUGGUCGAGAUUAGGCAAUAAAUUGUAAAUUUAUUUACGAAUAAAAUUAAUUCUUUUACCA